GACGAACGCUGGCGGCGUGCUUAACACAUGCAAGUCGAACGAAGAGCGACGGAAGCUUGCUUCUAUCAAUCUUAGUGGCGAACGGGUGAGUAACGCGUAAUCAACCUGCCCUUCAGAGGGGGACAACAGUUGGAAACGACUGCUAAUACCGCAUACGAUCUAACCUCGGCAUCGAGGAUAGAUGAAAGGUGGCCUCUACAUGUAAGCUAUCACUGAAGGAGGGGAUUGCGUCUGAUUAGCUAGUUGGAGGGGUAACGGCCCACCAAGGCGAUGAUCAGUAGCCGGUCUGAGAGGAUGAACGGCCACAUUGGGACUGAGACACGGCCCAGACUCCUACGGGAGGCAGCAGUGGGGAAUCUUCCGCUAUGGACGAAAGUCUGACGGAGCAACGCCGCGGGAGUGAUGGCGGCCUUCGGGUUGUAAAGCUCUGUUAAUCGGGACGAAAGGCCUUCUUGCGAAUAGUGAGAAGGAUUGACGGUACCGGAAUAGAAAGCCACGGCUAACUACGUG
This 510-nucleotide ribosomal RNA is filed under the name uncultured bacterium. RNAcentral describes it as "partial 16S ribosomal RNA". It matches the Rfam family "Bacterial small subunit ribosomal RNA", at positions 28 to 507 of the family's 1533-position model. The record is from RNAcentral.